Molecule: ribosomal RNA, 254 nt
Filed under: uncultured prokaryote
Description: partial 16S ribosomal RNA
Rfam family: Bacterial small subunit ribosomal RNA
Source: RNAcentral
AAUACGGAGGGUGCUAGCGUUGUUCGGAAUUACUGGGCGUAAAGGGCGCGUAGGCGGCUCUUUCAGUCGGGUGUGAAAGCCCGGGGCUCAACCCCGGAACGGCACCCGAGACGGGAGGGCUGGAGACCGGGAGAGGAGGGUGGAAUAGCCAGUGUAGAGGUGAAAUUCGUAGAUAUUGGCUGGAACACCGGUGGCGAAAGCGGCUCUCUGGCCCGGUUCUGACGCUGAGGCGCGAAAGCGUGGGGAGCAAACAG